Oncorhynchus gorbuscha (pink salmon) is the source of this 1169-nucleotide long non-coding RNA. RefSeq lists it as uncharacterized. Lineage: Eukaryota; Metazoa; Chordata; Actinopteri; Salmoniformes; Salmonidae. The record is from RefSeq and is a predicted model, not a curated record. The transcript has 3 exons.
UGGUCAUAGUGAAGCAUUAAGUCCAGCAUUUAUUGCAAAUGCUGAUACCACUCCACUAGAUAGAUGGGGCGUGCCCACAAACUUGGUUUAUGGCGUUGUUUACUUCGAACAACCAACACAUAGUUAUCUGGAGUCCGCCUCGCUGAAAAAAAUACAAAGCGUGGGCAUUUUGUGCACACGCGCAUGAGGGAGCACAACAAGAUUGUGGGACAGAAACGGGCAAAGGACACUGCAAGGUGGGUGUCAUGACGACAGACAUCUUGGAUUACUUCAUGGAGCAAAAAUAAAGUAUUUAUUUUAAUAACUGAGCAUUUCUAAAUUCAAACUGAUCCCUUGCCACUGGACACAGACACUUUAUGAGACGAAUCGACGACGAAGACUAAGAGAAGUGGUGAUCAGCAGACGAUGGGAGAGGUGGUCAUGAUGAAAUUGCCAUUAUAAAGGAACAUACAGUAAGUUCAGGGAAUACUUGUACAGCUGUGGGAGGAGAGGUGGUCAUGACCACACUGCCAUCAAACAACAGCUCCUCUUGAGUUGUCUUCUGUCCAUCCAGAAGAAUAUAGUUCACAGGAUACAGUUCUGCUACAACGACACACGCAGGCAAAGAAAAUCUGUUUCUCUCCAAGAAUCCACUCCAGGAAGAAGACCAGGCACCACACUGUAUCGUCUGCAAAACAAAAAAUAUAUAUCAUAAAUGAUACUCCAUUGCACAGUUUGAAAGACAGUUGAACUGUGCCAGCAUAACAACAUUAGGGUAGACUAGUUGAACAUGCAUACGUGAGGACAGGCACAGAUAUUACGUUUACAACAAUAUCUAGCCUAAUAGAAAGAAAUAUGGCAUAACCCUCAACCUUUGCUCAGUGACCAGACUGUACAAAUGUACCUAGGUAGAUAGGCAGACAGUAUAUAGCUACAGCAAUGUCUAACCGGCAUGCUUAGGCACAUAUGUUUAUAGUAAAAUCAUGAAUUCUCUGGCAACAGCUCUGGUGGACAUUCCUGCAUUACUGACAUUCCUGCAGUCAGCAUGCUAAUUGUAUGCUCCCUCAAAACUUGAGACUUCUGUUUGCAUUGUGUCAUGUCACAAAAUUGCACAUUUUAGUGCCUUUACAAGGUGCACCUGUGUAAUGAUCAUGAUGUUUAAUCAGCUUCUUGAUAUGCCACACCUGUCA